CCGCCCUGGCUCGCCUGCUCUCGCGUUGCCAUGGCACUGGCGGGGCGGGAGGCUGCAGGUCGCGGUGGGGUCUGUCACGGCCCCGCCGGGAGGCACAGGGCGGCCCGCGGUCCCCGUUCCUGCCGCCUCAUCUCUGCGGUUUCCACCUCGUCCAGCCAGGUCCCCGCUGUCCGCUCUGCUAGUCCCGCAGCGCUCGGUCGCCACGGCACGGUGCUCAGCGUCUCCUCAGGGUGCUCGGCCCUCGGCGGCCCGGCCCCACGCAGCCCUCCGCCGGGCUCGGCCGUCCCACCCUGUCAGUGCCUAACUGCUGCUUCUCUCUCUCCCUUCAGUCAAAGUGUUAGAAGAACCUGCCUCCCACUUUAAAACUUGUAAUUUUUCUUAGAAGGGAUUGUUUUAAAUACCCGAAACCAGCAGUGGAACGGACUGUAACUGAGACAGCCCAUCUCUGACCGUGUGCGUGGCUGGGGGAAGCCGGCUGUUGAAGGCUUUAUGGCGGAUGUCGGCCAGCAGAAGGGAGCUGGAGAGGUGAUGAGUAUCUCGGGUCUUGAAUGAGCAGGCAUGUGACAUAGAGGUGUUUCACCUCUGCUGGUCCUCGAUCGAGUCAAAGCCAGGAGAUCCCCGAGUCCGACCUUCCCACUGUGUGUCACGUCACAGUUACAACAACAGGGAUGGUAACAACAUCUGCUGGGUACAAUGGCACCAGUUACAUACCGACAGGGAAGCGCCUUACCGUUGUACCGGGGAAUGGACGGACAUGCAACCGAAGAAUGUGCUUAUAGAUCAGGCUGUGCAUUAUUCCAGACAUUUUUUCUUCCCACUCUUUGUAUCUCCUUUUUCCCCUCUCACUUUUCACUUCUCUCUGCAUUUUACCCACUACAUUGGCAUAGGCAGGCUCCACUUCCCAGUUUGCUUUCGAUGCUGA
Grus americana (Whooping crane) is the source of this 922-nucleotide long non-coding RNA. RefSeq lists it as uncharacterized. The transcript is spliced from 3 exons. The record is from RefSeq and is a predicted model, not a curated record. Lineage: Eukaryota; Metazoa; Chordata; Aves; Gruiformes; Gruidae.